Molecule: non-coding RNA, 67 nt
Organism: Cordylochernes scorpioides
Lineage: Eukaryota; Metazoa; Arthropoda; Arachnida; Pseudoscorpiones; Chernetidae
Source: the annotation of a GenBank genome assembly
GCAUCGGUGGUUUAGUGGUAGAAUGCUCGCCUGCCACGCGGGCGCCCUGGGAUUCCCCGCCAAUGCA